This 425-nucleotide ribosomal RNA is filed under the name uncultured bacterium. RNAcentral describes it as "bacterial SSU rRNA". It matches the Rfam family "Bacterial small subunit ribosomal RNA", at positions 354 to 796 of the family's 1533-position model. The record is from RNAcentral.
GUGGGGAAUCUUAGACAAUGGGCGCAAGCCUGAUCUAGCCAUGCCGCGUGAUCGAUGAAGGCCUUAGGGUUGUAAAGAUCUUUCAGUGGGGAAGAUAAUGACUGUACCCACAGAAGAAGCCCCGGCUAACUCCGUGCCAGCAGCCGCGGUAAUACGGAGGGGGCUAGCGUUGUUCGGAAUUACUGGGCGUAAAGCGCACGUAGGCGGAACAGAAAGUCAGAGGUGAAAUCCCAGGGCUCAACCUUGGAACUGCCUUUGACACUCCUGUUCUUGAGUUCGAGAGAGGGGAGUGGAAGUCCGAGUGUAGAGGUGAAAUUCGUAGAUAUUCGGAGGAACACCAGUGGCGAAGGCGGCUCACUGGCUCGAUACUGACGCUGAGGUGCGAAAGCGUGGGGAGCAAACAGGAUUAGAAACCCUGGUAGUCC